This 497-nucleotide ribosomal RNA is filed under the name uncultured bacterium. Its description in RNAcentral is "partial 16S ribosomal RNA". It matches the Rfam family "Bacterial small subunit ribosomal RNA", at positions 28 to 507 of the family's 1533-position model. The record is from RNAcentral.
GAUGAACGCUGGCGGCGUGCCUAAUACAUGCAAGUCGAGCGAACAGACGAGGCGCUUGCUCCUCUGACGUUAGCGGCGGACGGGUGAGUAACACGUGGAUAACCUACCUAUCAGACUGGGAUAACUUCGGGACACCGGAGCUAAUACCGGAUAAUAUAUUGAACCGCAUGGUUCAAUAGUGAAAGACGGUUUUGCUGUCACUUAUAGAUGGAUCCGCGCCGCAUUAGCUAGUUGGUAAGGUAACGGCUUACCAAGGCAACGAUGCGUAGCCGACCUACGAGGGGGGUAGGCCACACGGGAAGUGAGACACGGUCCAGACUCCUACGGGAGGCAGCAGUAGGGAAUCUGACGCAAUGGGCGAAAGCCUGACGGAGCAACGCCGCGUGAGUGAUAAAGGUCUUCGGAUCGUAAAACUCUGUUAUUAGGGAAGAACAAAUGUGUAAGUAACUAUGCACGUCUUGACGGUACCGAAUCAGAAAGCCACGGCUAACUACGUG